AUGAAGUGCUCCAGAGAGCACCCGGUCUGUUGCGAGAAGGAGCUGGCAGAGGUUGCUUUAGAAGACAGAGGGAAUCCUCAGGUGUUGGAGGCAUUCAGGAAAACUGAGUUUCGUGCACGCGAAAGGGAGCAAUCUCACAGCGGCAGCCACUACUACGAGCGCUACGGGUUGAUUGCUGUGCACCGGGACGUCGAGUCCUGGCUCUGCGUCAGCGAAGAUCCACAGCUGGCCAUAGCGAUAGAGGAGAUCGUCAACACUUUCAGCCCGGGCCUCUCUGUCGAGCUGCUGCUCUACAAUGUCUUGGGAAGCAACAGCGAGAGCGCCACAUGCUUGGUGCGAUACCUAGUGAACUACUACGCCUCCAAUCACGUGUGCGAGCACAUCAAAGCCACACUGAGGAAUGUGAUCCGGUGGACCGUGCUGGCGGGCUUUGUGCCGUGCGUCUUUGUGCCUUGGAGGAAGCUCAGAACUCUCGGCUUGGGCUUGUCGGGGAGAGCCACCGUGACCAACUUGGUGUCAUCCAAGCCGGUCGUUCACGAGCAGGCGUACCGGUGUGACUGGGAUGACAACGGAGAUGUCGGACAGGGUCAAAAAAGUAAACGAAGGAGAACGGAUAGGCAGUCCAGCUGUCGCCGCUGUCACCGUCACGGGCCGUGCUUCAGGCCAGUGCGGGAUGGCCUCAGUCAUCCUGAUGCCGCGUCUGAGGCGGUGCAGGAGCGAGAGGCUCACGAACGGGCUCUGUCCACGGUGCUUGACGUGCCGCUGGAGCGACUGGCAGACACCUUGAAACUGCUGAUGUGCAACUCUGUGCCUGAGACGCAGGUGUCUGUGGUGUGCAAGAUAAUCCGAGACUGGAUCGACCGCGACGUCGCGCUCAAGCGAGACCCGAUUGGGGAAACGGAGUUAAAGAUGGCAGCCGUGGCCCUCUGGGGUGUUAUGAAGACCUUCGAGCACGGCCGAUGCCCGGCCGUGCCAGAGUGCAGGGCUGCGACCUGUCUGGCCUUCUACGACACGGAGACCGACCUCGUCACCGCCACGGUGGACGGGAUCCUCUACAGACACAUCUCCCCGUGGGACAGUUGCUGGUCAAGGGGUUCAGAAAUGUCCUCCUUGGCCAAGAGAGCUCACCGGACGGUCCAGAGUUGGGCCACUCUCUUUCGCAAGAUCAUACAGGGCCUGACUGCGGCCUCGACGAGACACGUGUACACCAGCGCAGGUGUGGACCGCUCCUCCUUGACCCACCUGGCCGACGUGAUGCUUUCGUCCCGAGGAGAGCAGGAGCACGUUGGCCUCUCGGUCCCGGGAAAUGCGUUCGGCAAACCCCUACUUGACAAUCUGUCUCGCUUCCUCACCGGCGACCGCCAGCACGACAUGUUUGGCCUGAACGCCGCCGAGCUGCCGGACGUGUUUCUGAGGUCCGGCGUCGGCGCCACAGUUUCCGAGCACAAGUCUGCCAGCGUCUCGCACAGUCUGAGCAAAAUGAUGGCUUCGAUGAUUGCCGAAGGCAAAGAGGUUUUGCUCGUCAGGCAGUUCCUCGGGGAGGUGACUAGGUAUCCUCGUCUGGCCUUGGCACGUCUCAAGAGAGAUUGCAAAGAUCAAUGUCUACUGGGCAUGGCAGAGAGUGUUGCCAGGCAGAUAGAACGGGCCGCAGGCGAGGACGGCGAUGGGCGCUCCAAAGAGGAGCCGGUCACGGAGCUGGGCUCCGACGUUAAGCUUGUGUGCAACUACCCGUCCUCUGUCAGCGUCUCCCACUUGGAGGAAACCUUGAGCAUGUGGACAAAUUUUUGGAGGAGCACUCUAUCCGGAUUCAGUCAGUUCAACAGGAGACACAACACUAUUCAGUACAAACAACAGGGAUACGGUGAGAGAACUUGA
RNAcentral lists this long non-coding RNA (1875 nucleotides) under Betta splendens (Siamese fighting fish). RNAcentral describes it as "lncRNA (ENSBSLG00000017698.1)". Lineage: Eukaryota; Metazoa; Chordata; Actinopteri; Anabantiformes; Osphronemidae. The record is from RNAcentral.